This 4436-nucleotide long non-coding RNA is filed under the name Sus scrofa (pig). RNAcentral describes it as "lncRNA (ENSSSCG00000062775.1)". The record is from RNAcentral. Lineage: Eukaryota; Metazoa; Chordata; Mammalia; Artiodactyla; Suidae.
AAUUAUGUAAUCUUCAUUGUCCUUAAAAUUAAACUCCUCUUCUGAAGUGAUGGAGAAGAGUGUCCUUGUAACUUACAUAUGCUUUUAAAGCUAUCAAAAUACCUCCAGCCUUUCCUAUAGGUCAAAAUGUGAAACUAACAUUGCAAUCGUUUCAUUUAUUUUUUUUGCCCACUGAAAGCUUUUCUUAAGUUGUUGAGGUUUCUUUCAGCUGAGUUAAUCAAUUGUCAUGACCUUUUUCUCUCAAAAGAAAUAGUUGUUUUUUUUUUUGCUUUUUAGUGUUACACCCACAGCAUAUGGAGGUUCCCAGGCUAGGGGUCUAAUUGGAGCUACAGCUGCCAGUCUACACCACAGCCACAGCCACACCCCUUAACCCACUGAGCAAGGCCAGGGAUUGAACCCGAAACCUCAUGGUUCCUAGUCAGAUUUGUUUCCACUACAGGAAUUCCAGAAAUAUUUUUUUUUUAUAAGAGCAAAUUACUCUCUGAUUUUUCUUCAAUAUUUUUUGACUCGUUUUCUGUAGUAUCCAGAAAUUACCCUCUUCUUAAAGAACUUAUCCUCUGCUAAAAACAUACCCUCUCCCUUCUGAUUACAGAAUUACAGACAAUUGAUUACAAGCAAUGUAAAAAUUCUUGUGAAUAUUUUAAAAACUGAUUUUUCAUUGUUGUUGUUGUUUCUAGGGCCACACUUGUGGCCUAUGGAGGUUCCCAGCCCAGGCCAGGGGUAUAAUCACCCGCCUACACCAGAACCACACCAACACCAGAUCCGAGCCUUGUCUGCAACCGACACCACAGCUCACGGCAACGCCCACUGAGCGAGGCCAGGUUUUGAACCGGCAACCUCAUGGUUCUUAGUUGGAUUCGUUAACCACUGAGCCAGGAUGGGAAUUCCAGAACUGAUUUAUUUUUAAACAAUUGCUUACUCCAUGAAUGGACUUUGCCAUCAAUGGUCAUGUCACCUGCUCACAGGUGUGAAAUUGACCAUCAGUCCCUCUCUCCUCCAACUGUAAAGAGACAAUUUUAGAAUUUUUAUUAACAGACAAUAAUUGAAGGUGAAUUCAAGUAACACCUUUGUCACAGGACAGAGCCAAGCCUUCAGGGUGAAUUCCUGUUGCCUCAGACCAGGCCUCCCUAGAAACCGGUCCACACAGCAUUGAGAUACCAAUCCAAAGGGAAGCGGGCUGGUGUCCUUUACCAAAGUCACCAUAACUGGGCUAUCCUGGCCACAGCUAUUCAGCAAUCAAGGCCCCUUUUGGCAUCUGAGCAUGCCCAGCUCUGUCUGCUGUUGCUGAAGAAUCUCAGUGCCCUGAGGGAGAUACAAGCCAAUGGGAAUAAAAAGCUCUUAGGGCUAGUGAUGCCUUGUCGUUUAGAGAGAGCUUGAAAAGAACUGGGAAGGACUGACAGAAAGAAAUGAAGGUAGCCAAACAGAUAUUAUUUUGAUUUUGCGGUAAAAGGCCUCUCCACUUAUUAAAAUUCUUCCUACCCCUUGAAGCCAAAGUAGAAAGCAACCUCCUUUCAGCAAUCUUCUGGUUGCCCCUAGGUGUGGGCGAACACCUGGACCUUCUCAUUCAGCAAUUACGUGCCGCUUUGAGGUGUUGAUGAUUCUAGCUGUGCCUCAUUUAUUUUACCAGGGUGCAAGUUCCUCAGUGGGAGAUACAAUGUCUGAAGUCACUUCGUGGCGUUCCCCUUGGAGCUCAGUGGGUUAAGAACCCAACAUAGCAUCUCGAGGAUGCAGGUUCCAUCCCUGGCCUUGCUUAGUGGGUUAAAGAUUCGGCGUUGCCACAAGCUGUGGCAUAGGUUGCAGAUGCAGCUUGGAUCUGGUGUUGCUGUGGCUUUGGUGUAGGCCAGCAGCUGCAGUUCCCACUCAACUGCUAGCCCAGGAACUUCCAUAUGCUGCAGGUGCAUAUGGAAGAAAAAAAACUAAAGAUAAAAGAAAAAAAAAAAGCCACUUUAUUUCCCAUUGUGGCUCAGUGGGUUAUGAAUCUGACUAGGAUCCAUGAGGAUUCGGGUUUGAUAACCCCUCGCUCAGUAGGUUAAGGAUCUGGUGUUGCUGCAAGCUGUGGCAUAGGUGACAGAUGUGGCUUGGAUCUGGUGUUGCUGUGGCUGUGGCUAGUAGCUGCAGGUCUGAUUCAACCCCUAGCCCGGGAAUUUCCAUAUGCCGCAGGUAUGGCCUGAAUAAUAAUAAUAACAGGAGUUCCCGUCGUGGUGCAGUGAAGAUGAAUCCAACCAGGAACCAUGAGGUUGUAGGUUCGGUCCCUGGCCUUGCUCAAUGGGUUAAAGAUCCCGGGUUGCCAUGAGCUGUGGUGUAAGUCACAGAUGCAGCUUGGAUCUGGGGUUGCUGUGGCUCUGGUGUAGACUGCUGGCUACAGCUCUGAUUAGACGCCUAGCCUGGGAACCUGAUCCAGCCCUAAAAGGACAAAAAAAAGACAAAAAAAAAAAGAUAAUAUUAAUCAUAAUAAUUUGUGUGAUUCAAGCAAAUAAAAUAGCUUUUCCAUGUUUUAGAUUCCUCAAUAAAAAAGAGGUAAGUAUUCACCUAAUUUUAGGAUUGUAUCAAAACGAAAUAAAAUAUUUCAAGUAACGUGUGUAAUAUGCUGCUUGAAUCAUGAUGCUCAAAUACAUGUAUUGUUAUCUGCAUAUAGAUAUGAUUGCCGCACAUGAUGAGAGGCCAUCCCAGGGCCACCUGGCUAAGGUGGAGGAAUAGAGUGCACACUUUCUAAACACCUACGUUCUUCCCCCCUCCUUCUGUUUUUGUCUCUAGUUUUUAUUGAAUCCGCAUCCCCAGGUGCACCUCUAUAAGAGGCAGGGAACCUCAACAAGGAGGCGUGUUCCCCAGAAGUCAAAUGAGUUUAUAGACAUGUCCUGUGACAUCAUGGAGCCUUCCUGAUAACACAUCAUACUGGCUGCUGUCCUCCCCUGUGCUGUUCUAGAGGGGCUGCUUGGGGAUCACACUGUCAAGGCCUUUGGUUUAUAGAAACAUCUUUCCCAUUAAUCAAAGAUUAUAGACUAGCUGACAAAUCACACACUUCUGCACCAUGCGGAAGAGAGCAGCUUGGUACAUGUUGCUAGGGCAUUUUACGCUGGGUUUCUAGGGUAACUGGCAUCUCAACAUCCCCAGGUUUGUAUUCGGGCUAUUCCUGGUCUGAGGAUGACAGUCUGCUUUGGCACCUGAAGGCCUGUCAUUUUCAUCACUGCUUGUGACUUUGCUGCAUUCCUUCCUCACUGCCCAUUCUUUCCGCAGACCCUUAACACUGGCCUCGCCGCUCCUUCCAGCGGCUCUCAGCGGACCGCAUGACCUCCUGAUUUCCGAGGGCAACAUCCUACAGCCAGACUCCACGCAGCCCUCCUCUGCAGCGUUUCACACUAGGCAGAGCCCUAUUCCCUCUGAAAGUCUGCCGUCCACUGGCAUCGUUGGAAUUACACCGCAGGUCCUCUCCUGCCCGGAUGAUUCUUCUUUGUUGCCUUUGCUCGCUCCCACCCCCUGUCCCUUACACAUCAGCAUUCCCCAAGGUUCUGCCCCGAGCUACCUUCUCUUCGUGCUCUCUAUAUUUAUUCCCACUUGAGCUCAUCCAUGCACAUGCCUAUUAAAAUAACGGACCAAUGCCGAAAAGCCUAAUGAAAAAAGUAAAAAAUCAUUAGCAGUAACAUUUAUCACCUUUUUAAAUCUAUACUUAUGCAUAUAGUUGCAUGAUUUUAUCAAAAUUGGAUCAUUCUACACACAUGUGUUUCAUAGCCUACUUUUUAAAACUCAAUAAUACGGUUCGAACAUUAUAGAUUAACACAGAGGUUUUUUUUUUUUUAACUGUCAUUUUAAGUGUAUGAUGUUGUAUUACUAAUUUCCUAUGGCUGACAUAACAAAGUAUCACAGACAAGGUGGCUUAAAUAAUUUAUUUUCCCACCAAUCUGGAAGCUAGGAGUCUGAGAUCAAGGGAGUUGGUUUGGUUUGGUUGGUUUCUUCCAAGGUCUCUCUCUCUUUGGCCUACAGAGGGUCAUCUUCUCUCUGAUUUUCCUCUGUGUGUGUCUAUAAAAAUAGAUUGGGGUCCACCAUGUAUAAAGGCCCUAUCUUCAAAUACAGUCAAUUUCUGAGGCCUGGGGAUUAGGAUUUCAACAGAGGAAUUUGGGUGGGAGGGGACCACCCUUCAGCCCAUAGCACAUAUAUUGAAAAAGUCACUCAUGGAGUUCCUGUAAUGGCUCAGCAGUAACAACCUGACUAGUAUCCAUGAGGAUGCAGGUUCCAUCCCUGGCCUCGCUCAGUGGGUUAAGGAUCUGGCGUUGCCGUGAGCUGUAGUAUAGAUCACAGAUGCGGCUCAGAUCCUGCGUUGCUGUGGCUGUGGCCUAGGCCAGCAGCUGCAGAUAUGACUCAGCCUCUAGCCUGGGAACUUCCACAUGCUGCAGGUGUGGCUCUAAAAAGACACACACACAAAAAAAAAAAAAAAAAAAAAA